Molecule: long non-coding RNA, 994 nt
Filed under: Hordeum vulgare
Lineage: Eukaryota; Viridiplantae; Streptophyta; Magnoliopsida; Poales; Poaceae
Description: long non-coding RNA (HVUL_LNC004818)
Source: RNAcentral
CCCAUCAAGCAUCAGGCUGCGAACAUUCCUUUUGAAUUCUCAACCAGGAAAUGUUAGACAGAGCAAACCAAGUAUGUUCUAUGUUUUUCAAGUGUGCCCAAGCCCACAAACCCUGAUCAAGCUUUGGCAAAUUGAUUCCAACUACCAUCCUCGUAUACAAAACCAGAAACUAAGCUAGUUGCUCUUUCACGAAUAGAAGAAUGGACGUCAACAACAUCAUAAACGAAUUUUCUGAGCUAGAUUUGAUGAUAAACACAUUCAAGAUGCUACAAUGCACAGUUGGAAUGAUAACCAGGUCUGGUAUAUAAAAGCAAAUGGAAGAAUUAACCUAGCUACAAAAUCAUAACUAGCCUCAUCCCCCCACACUGAGUCACUCUAUCAACUUUGAACAUAAACCUAACCAGAUAAAGUUACAACAGGAAUUAAUCUAGCAAAGAUGAGACUUGUCGCAUUCGGCCCAUGGGCCAGCCAAUCUACUCUUGAGGAGGUCCUUGAGGUCCACGGUCACGACCCCCAGAGUGCCCACGGCCACGGCCACGGCCACGCCCACGUCCUCGGCCUCAACCCCUUCCUCCAUCACCUUCUGCACAGGAGAUUAAUAAUAAGAUACAUUGCUUAGCGAUGAUUAAAACCAUAUUCAGAGAGAAGUUGGGCAACUGAAAAAGAAUUAUUCAAAGGAAUGCCAAAGUCAAAGCACAAUAUUAACAUCACAUUUGAGAGGUUAAAUAUUAUUAUCUGUGGUUCUGCACGUCUCUAAUGAAGUGGUUAAUUAAUAUAUCGCAUAUAUGUCAUUAAGUGAUAAAAAAAACUGGGGCCAAAAUUAAAAAAUUGAGGGCUGUUAAGUAAAAAAAUUAAACAGAACUAACCAUAUCCUUGCACAGGAGGUCCAUUAUGCUCCACGCCAUGAUACCCACCAGCUUCUUCAUUUACAUAGCCAUAGCCAUCACCACCAUAACCCCUUCCAGGCCCAAAGGCUCCACGCCUACCCCUUCCU